RNAcentral lists this small nuclear RNA (23 nucleotides) under Arabidopsis thaliana (thale cress). RNAcentral's name for it is "snRNA_02134". The record is from RNAcentral. Lineage: Eukaryota; Viridiplantae; Streptophyta; Magnoliopsida; Brassicales; Brassicaceae.
AAAGUAGCGACAGUUGCCAGCGA